CGCCUGGGGAGUACGGCCGCAAGGUUAAAACUCAAAUGAAUUGACGGGGGCCCGCACAAGCGGUGGAGCAUGUGGUUUAAUUCGAUGCAACGCGAAGAACCUUACCUGGUCUUGACAUCCACGGAAGUUUUCAGAGAUGAGAAUGUGCCUUCGGGAACCGUGAGACAGGUGCUGCAUGGCUGUCGUCAGCUCGUGUUGUGAAAUGUUGGGUUAAGUCCCGCAACGAGCGCAACCCUUAUCCUUUGUUGCCAGCG
Molecule: ribosomal RNA, 254 nt
Filed under: Salmonella enterica subsp. enterica serovar Senftenberg
Lineage: Bacteria; Pseudomonadati; Pseudomonadota; Gammaproteobacteria; Enterobacterales; Enterobacteriaceae
Also listed under: 6 other names
Description: partial 16S ribosomal RNA
Rfam family: Bacterial small subunit ribosomal RNA
Source: RNAcentral